RNAcentral lists this ribosomal RNA (481 nucleotides) under uncultured bacterium. Its description in RNAcentral is "bacterial SSU rRNA". It matches the Rfam family "Bacterial small subunit ribosomal RNA", at positions 30 to 531 of the family's 1533-position model. The record is from RNAcentral.
UGAACGCUGGCGGCAUGCCUUACACAUGCAAGUCGAACGGUAACAGGUCUUCGGAUGCUGACGAGUGGCGAACGGGUGAGUAAUACAUCGGAACGUGCCCGAUCGUGGGGGAUAACGAAGCGAAAGCUUUGCUAAUACCGCAUACGAUCUACGGAUGAAAGCAGGGGACCGCAAGGCCUUGCGCGAACGGAGCGGCCGAUGGCAGAUUAGGUAGUUGGUGGGAUAAAAGCUUACCAAGCCGACGAUCUGUAGCUGGUCUGAGAGGACGACCAGCCACACUGGGACUGAGACACGGCCCAGACUCCUACGGGAGGCAGCAGUGGGGAAUUUUGGACAAUGGGCGAAAGCCUGAUCCAGCCAUGCCGCGUGCAGGAUGAAGGCCUCGGGUUGUAACCGACUGUCGGAGGGACGAAGCGUCUGACGGUACCGUCCAAACGGAAGCACCGGCUAACUCUGUGCCAGCAGCCGCGGUAAUCUGAUG